UGGGGUAAUGGCCUACCAAGCCUACGAUCUAUAGCUGGUUUGAGAGGAUGAUCAGCAACACUGGGACUGAGACACGGCCCAGACUUCUACGGAAGGCAGCAGUAGGGAAUCUUGGACAAUGGGCGAAAGCCUGAUCCAGCCAUGCCGCGUGAGUGAUGAAGGCCCUAGGGUUGUAAAACUCUUUCGCCAGGGAAGAUAAUGACGGUACCUGGUAAAGAAACCCCGGC
Molecule: ribosomal RNA, 227 nt
Filed under: uncultured Alphaproteobacteria bacterium
Lineage: Bacteria; Pseudomonadati; Pseudomonadota; Alphaproteobacteria
Description: partial 16S ribosomal RNA
Rfam family: Bacterial small subunit ribosomal RNA
Source: RNAcentral